Molecule: ribosomal RNA, 464 nt
Filed under: uncultured bacterium
Lineage: Bacteria
Description: partial 16S ribosomal RNA
Rfam family: Bacterial small subunit ribosomal RNA
Source: RNAcentral
GACGAACGCUGGCGGCGUGCUUAACACAUGCAAGUCGAACGGAGAGGCCCUGCUUGCAGGGUACUCGAGUGGCGAACGGGUGAGUAACACGUGGGUGAUCUGCCCUGCACUUCGGGAUAAGCCUGGGAAACUGGGUCUAAUACCGGAUAGAGCCAUUUUUAGGGGGAUGGUUGGAAAGUUUUUUCGGUGUAGGAUGAGCUCGCGGCCUAUCAGCUUGUUGGUGGGGUAAUGGCCUACCAAGGCGGCGACGGGUAGCCGGCCUGAGAGGGUGGACGGCCACAUUGGGACUGAGAUACGGCCCAGACUCCUACGGGAGGCAGCAGUGGGGAAUAUUGCACAAUGGGCGCAAGCCUGAUGCAGCGACGCCGCGUGGGGGAUGACGGCCUUCGGGUUGUAAACUCCUUUCGCUAGGGACGAAGCUUUUUGUGACGGUACCUAGAUAAGAAGCACCGGCUAACUACGUG